AACGAACGCUUUCUUCCUUCCUAACACAUGCAAGUCGAACGAGACCUUCGGGUCUAGUGGCGCACGGGUGCGUAACGCGUGGGAACCUGCCCUUAGGUUCGGAAUAACUCCCCGAAAGGGGUGCUAAUACCGGAUAAUGUCUUCGGACCAAAGAUUUAUCGCCUUUGGAUGGGCCCGCGUUGGAUUAGCUAGUUGGUAGGGUAAAAGCCUACCAAGGCGACGAUCCAUAGCUGGUCUGAGAGGAUGAUCAGCCACACUGGGACUGAGACACGGCCCAGACUCCUACGGGAGGCAGCAGUGGGGAAUAUUGGACAAUGGGCGAAAGCCUGAUCCAGCAAUGCCGCGUGAGUGAUGAAGGCCUUAGGGUUGUAAAGCUCUUUUACCCGGGAUGAUAAUGACAGUACCGGGAGAAUAAGCUCAGGCUAACUCCGGG
This 433-nucleotide ribosomal RNA is filed under the name uncultured bacterium. RNAcentral describes it as "partial 16S ribosomal RNA". It matches the Rfam family "Bacterial small subunit ribosomal RNA", at positions 29 to 507 of the family's 1533-position model. The record is from RNAcentral.